UUACGGGAGGCAGCAGUAGGGAAUCUUCCACAAUGGACGAAAGUCUGAUGGAGCAACGCCGCGUGAGUGAAGAAGGUUUUCGGAUCGUAAAACUCUGUUGUUGGAGAAGAAUGUAUCUGAUAGUAACUGAUCAGGUAGUGACGGUAUCCAACCAGAAAGCCACGGCUAACUACGUGCCAGCAGCCGCGGUAAUACGUAGGUGGCAAGCGUUGUCCGGAUUUAUUGGGCGUAAAGCGAGCGCAGGCGGUUUCUUAAGUCUGAUGUGAAAGCCUUCGGCUCAACCGAAGAAGUGCAUCGGAAACUGGGAAACUUGAGUGCAGAAGAGGACAGUGGAACUCCAUGUGUAGCGGUGAAAUGCGUAGAUAUAUGGAAGAACACCAGUGGCGAAGGCGGCUGUCUGGUCUGUAACUGACGCUGAGGCUCGAAAGCAUGGGUAGCAAACAGGAUUAGAUACCCUGGUAGUCCAUGCCGUAAACGAUGAGUGCUAGGUGUUGGAGGGUUUCCGCCCUUCAGUGCCGCAGCUAACGCAUUAAGCACUCCGCCUGGGGAGUACGACCGCAAGGUUGAAACUCAAAGGAAUUGACGGGGGCCCGCACAAGCGGUGGAGCAUGUGGUUUAAUUCGAAGCAACGCGAAGAACCUUACCAGGUCUUGACAUCCUUUGACCACUCUAGAGAUAGAGCUUUCCCUUCGGGGACAAAGUGACAGGUGGUGCAUGGUUGUCGUCAGCUCGUGUCGUGAGAUGUUGGGUUAAGUCCCGCAACGAGCGCAACCCUUAUUACUAGUUGCCAGCAUUUAGUUGGGCACUCUAGUGAGACUGCCGGUGACAAACCGGAGGAAGGUGGGGACGACGUCAAAUCAUCAUGCCCCUUAUGACCUGGGCUACACACGUGCUACAAUGGAUGGUACAACGAGUUGCGAGACCGCGAGGUUUAGCUAAUCUCUUAAAACCAUUCUCAGUUCGGAUUGUAGGCUGCAACUCGCCUACAUGAAGCCGGAAUCGCUAGUAAUCGCGGAUCAGCAUGCCGCGGUGAAUACGUUCCCGGGCCUUGUACACACCGCCCGUCACACCAUGAGAGUUUGUAACACCCAAAGCCGGUGAGGUAACCCUUUCGGGAGCCAGCC
RNAcentral lists this ribosomal RNA (1124 nucleotides) under Latilactobacillus sakei. Its description in RNAcentral is "bacterial SSU rRNA". It matches the Rfam family "Bacterial small subunit ribosomal RNA", at positions 339 to 1454 of the family's 1533-position model. Lineage: Bacteria; Bacillati; Bacillota; Bacilli; Lactobacillales; Lactobacillaceae. The record is from RNAcentral.